AAGGAGCAUGAAAUUUGACUUGUACAUAAAAAUGAAAUGAAUUUCGUUCAACUAUGCCUAAACGUUACUCUUUUAACAAAUUGUUAGAAGAAAAAGCUGCAAAUUUUAUUCCUUUCGUUUAUUAAUUAAACUAGUAAAGAUGGUAUGUUUUAUUAAAAAUGAAGAUAAAAUAAAAUACAGACUGAGAAGGUAAACACAAUUUGACUUCCAACCAGAAGUGCAACAAAAUAAAGUUACCCCCUUCUAAAGAGACGUGAAGCAGAGAGUAACAUAUUGAAAAAUAUAUUUCAUAUACCUUGAUGGCACGCUUCAUUACCACACACUUGAAUGGAGUACGUCCAGAGUCUUAUAAUUAUUGUGUUCAGAUUUUGUUACCCUCUUCUUCUUGUCUUUUCUUCCUUUCCUUUUGCUUCUAGGAAUCUCCACAUAUUUUCUUUCAUCUGUCAUAAUUAUUAUUUCUGUAUUUUGCUCAUUAAUUCCUUGUGUACAGACAAGGCCUCUCACAUGGAGUGGGCCCAUGUCAAUAUUUUAUUGCAAAAAAUUAAAAACAAAAAAUAAAAAUCACUCCUCCCCGUGGCUGUGACCCCCCCUACUGUACACAGUCUACUUCAAGUUUGUUAGAGAAGCACUACAUUGACCUGAAAUUCAGAUGAGGGGCUGACAUCUCAACCCCUACCACAGGGGCCUAUCCAAGGCCCAUGUUUGAGCAGAAUUUUCCAUUUUGUUAUCCUCUCCUCCUUGUCUUAUCCAUUAUUUUCCCCUUGUAAUCAUUCAUAGAUAUAUAACCAUUUCUAGUGUCUAACUUCUCACUUUAAAACCUCUCAUACAGACGAGUCGAAACAACUAACAAGUGGUAACAUUUAUUUAGCCCCCGUUUGAUUCCCAUUAUUUUUAUAGAAAUAUGUGUGAUUAAAAAUAAGUUUUGAAAAAAUGACUUUCUAUAACCAAACACAC
Molecule: long non-coding RNA, 954 nt
Filed under: Olea europaea subsp. europaea
Lineage: Eukaryota; Viridiplantae; Streptophyta; Magnoliopsida; Lamiales; Oleaceae
Source: RNAcentral